CCCACUGUCCCUAUCUACUAUCUAGCGAAACCACUGCCAAGGGAACGGGCUUGGAAAAAUCAGCGGGGAAAGAAGACCCUGUUGAGCUUGACUCUAGUCUGGCACUGUAAGGAGACAUGAGAGGUGUAGCAUAAGUGGGAGACCGGGGUAACUCGUGUCGCCGGUGAAAUACCACUACUUUCAUCGUUUCUUUACUUACUCGGUUGGGCGGAGGGCGUCCGUCGUCUGCCUCACGGCACGGCGGUACGGUCUUCUCGCACCAAUCGUUCAAGGGUUGCCGGCGGCCGGUGUCGGGCGGGGCGUGCGUCGGUGAGUCGCGUGUACCGGGCCUUCGGGUUCCGGGCCGCGGCCCGGCAGCGUCUGCGGCCUGCGCCGGUACCGACCGGCAAACACUCCCUAGCGUGAUCCGAUCCGAGGACACUGCCAGGCGGGGAGUUUGACUGGGGCGGUACAUCUGUCAAAGAAUAACGCAGGUGUCCUAAGGCCAGCUCAGCGAGGACAGAAACCUCGCGUAGAGCAAAAGGGCAAAUGCUGGCUUGAUCCCGAUGUUCAGUACGCAUAGGGACUGCGAAAGCACGGCCUAUCGAUCCUUUUGGCUUGAAGAGUUUUCAGCAAGAGGUGUCAGAAAAGUUACCACAGGGAUAA
Molecule: ribosomal RNA, 645 nt
Filed under: Graphocephala coccinea
Lineage: Eukaryota; Metazoa; Arthropoda; Insecta; Hemiptera; Cicadellidae
Description: eukaryotic LSU rRNA
Rfam family: Eukaryotic large subunit ribosomal RNA
Source: RNAcentral